GUGGAUGAGUGGCGAACGGGUGAGUAACACGUGAGUAACCUGCCCCUGACUGUGGGAUAAGCCUGGGAAACUGGGUCUAAUACCGCAUAUGACAUGUCCUCGCAUGAGGGUGUGUGGAAAGGUUUUUCUGGUUGGGGAUGGGCUCGCGGCCUAUCAGCUUGUUGGUGGGGUAACGGCCUACCAAGGCGACGACGGGUAGCCGGCCUGAGAGGGCGACCGGCCACACUGGGACUGAGACACGGCCCAGACUCCUACGGGAGGCAGCAGUGGGGAAUAUUGCACAAUGGGGGAAACCCUGAUGCAGCGACGCCGCGUGAGGGAUGACGGCCUUCGGGUUGUAAACCUCUUUCAGCAGGGAAGAAGCCCCCUUGGGGGUGACGGUACCUGCAGAAGAAGUACCGGCUAACUACGUGCCAGCAGCCGCGGUAAUACGUAGGGUACAAGCGUUGUCCGGAAUUAUUGGGCGUAAAGAGCUCGUAGGCGGUUCGUCGCGUCUGCUGUGGAAACGCAAGGCUCAACCUUGCGCGUGCAGCGGGUACGGGCGUAACUAGAGUGCAGUAGGGGAGUCUGGAAUUCCUGGUGUAGCGGUGAAAUGCGCAGAUAUCAGGAGGAACACCGGUGGCGAAGGCGGGACUCUGGGCUGUUACUGACGCUGAGGAGCGAAAGCAUGGUGAGCGAACAGUAUUAUAUACCCUU
Molecule: ribosomal RNA, 696 nt
Filed under: Brevibacterium album
Lineage: Bacteria; Bacillati; Actinomycetota; Actinomycetes; Micrococcales; Brevibacteriaceae
Description: bacterial SSU rRNA
Rfam family: Bacterial small subunit ribosomal RNA
Source: RNAcentral